This 77-nucleotide transfer RNA is filed under the name Clostridiales bacterium. RNAcentral describes it as "tRNA-Val". It matches the Rfam family "tRNA". From Rfam's summary of the family: Transfer RNA (tRNA) molecules are approximately 80 nucleotides in length. Their secondary structure includes four short double-helical elements and three loops (D, anti-codon, and T loops). Further hydrogen bonds mediate the characteristic L-shaped molecular structure. tRNAs have two regions of fundamental functional importance: the anti-codon, which is responsible for specific mRNA codon recognition, and the 3' end, to which the tRNAs corresponding amino acid is attached (by aminoacyl-tRNA synthetases). tRNAs cope with the degeneracy of the genetic code in two manners: having more than one tRNA (with a specific anti-codon) for a particular amino acid; and 'wobble' base-pairing, i.e. permitting non-standard base-pairing at the 3rd anti-codon position. The record is from RNAcentral. Lineage: Bacteria; Bacillati; Bacillota; Clostridia; Eubacteriales.
GGGCGUGUAGCUCAGCUGGUUAGAGCACCUGCCUUACAAGCAGGGGGUCACAGGUUCGAGUCCUGUCACGCCCACCA